AGAGGUCUUAACUGUCACUACCAAGCAUCUCUUUUUAGUUGCACACUCAAUGAAAAUCGGCUAAAAGCUUUCUUUCAGAAAAAAUGAACUAUUAAAAAAGGACUGAUAUUGUCUAAAACAAAUC
Molecule: small RNA, 124 nt
Filed under: Streptococcus pyogenes
Lineage: Bacteria; Bacillati; Bacillota; Bacilli; Lactobacillales; Streptococcaceae
Source: RNAcentral